AUGAGGAAAGGCCAGAGAAGCUUCCAGAGAGGUGAGGAAACACCUCCGACCAGCUGGAACAUGAGGCCAAGGGAGGAGAGCAGGGAGGAGGAGGACCUUCAGAGACAGAGGCCAAGGGGAAGCACGCAAAGCCCCAGAGACACGUGUGAGGUAGCUGAGGCCCAGAGAAGGUGAACAGCUUGCCCAAGGCCACACAGCUCUUCAGCAGAGAAAAGGAAAGCUCAGUCUGUUGACCUCCAGAGUUCUCAUUUUCUGUCCAGAAUGCAGAAGACCCAGAGAUCCUGAGGAGUGUGAGGUGCAGGGCUGCCGGCUGGCCACCAUUGUGCUGUCGCUUUAUGGAAUCUGUUGGGAAGGGUGCCUGGAGGAAGCUGUGAGUGCUGGGCAACUCCCUCACUAACAGUGAAAGUCUGUGAGCUUACACUCAACCAAGCCCCAGGCUCCUGCUCCAGGGCCGUGUUCCCAUCCAACACACAAAAUAUGGGCACUUCGGGCAUCGUGAGACUAUAAGCAGGAUCUUAGACCUCUUCCUAUUUUCUCUGACUUAUUUUGAAGCAUUUUUUUUGGCCCAAUUAAAAAAAAAAUCUUGGCUUCAA
Peromyscus maniculatus bairdii (prairie deer mouse) is the source of this 593-nucleotide non-coding RNA. NCBI's taxonomy places the organism in Eukaryota, Metazoa, Chordata, Mammalia, Rodentia, Cricetidae. The record is from RefSeq and is a predicted model, not a curated record.